RNAcentral lists this ribosomal RNA (468 nucleotides) under uncultured bacterium. RNAcentral describes it as "partial 16S ribosomal RNA". It matches the Rfam family "Bacterial small subunit ribosomal RNA", at positions 28 to 507 of the family's 1533-position model. The record is from RNAcentral.
GACGAACGCUGGCGGCGUGCUUAACACAUGCAAGUCGAACGGAAAGGCCCCGCUUUUGUGGGGUGCUCGAGUGGCGAACAGGUGAGUAACACGUGAGUAACCUGCCCUUGACUUUGGGAUAACUUCAGGAAACUGGGGCUAAUACCGGAUAGGAGCUCCUGCUGCAUGGUGGGGGUUGGAAAGUUUCGGCGGUUGGGGAUGGACUCGCGGCUUAUCAGCUUGUUGGUGGGGUAGUGGCUUACCAAGGCUUUGACGGGUAGCCGGCCUGAGAGGGUGACCGGCCACAUUGGGACUGAGAUACGGCCCAGACUCCUACGGGAGGCAGCAGUGGGGAAUAUUGCACAGUGGGCGGAAGCCUGAUGCAGCAACGCCGCGUGCGGGAUGACGGCCUUCGGGUUGUAAACCGCUUUCGCCUGUGACGAAGCGUGAGUGACGGUAAUGGGUAAAGAAGCACCGGCUAACUACGUG